GAUGAACGCUAGCGGGAGGCCUAACACAUGCAAGCCGAGCGGUAUUGUUUCUUCGGAAAUGAGAGAGCGGCGUACGGGUGCGGAACACGUGUGCAACCUGCCUUUAUCUGGGGGAUAGCCUUUCGAAAGGAAGAUUAAUACUCCAUAAUAUAUUGAACGGCAUCGUUUAAUAUUGAAAGCUCCGGCGGAUAGAGAUGGGGCACGCGCAAGAUUAGCUAGUUGGUGAGGUAACGGCUCACCAAGGCAAUGAUCUUUAGGGGGCCUGAGAGGGUGAUCCCCCACACUGGUACUGAGACACGGACCAGACUCCUACGGGAGGCAGCAGUGAGGAAUAUUGGUCAAUGGGUGCAAGCCUGAACCAGCCAUCCCGCGUGAAGGACGACUGCCCUAUGGGUUGUAAACUUCUUUGUAUAGGGAUAAACCUUUCCACGUGUGGAAAGCUGAAGGUACUAUACGAAUAAGCACCGGCUAACUCCGUGCCAGCAGCCGCGGUAAAAGUGU
RNAcentral lists this ribosomal RNA (501 nucleotides) under uncultured bacterium. RNAcentral describes it as "bacterial SSU rRNA". It matches the Rfam family "Bacterial small subunit ribosomal RNA", at positions 28 to 528 of the family's 1533-position model. The record is from RNAcentral.